Long non-coding RNA from Pungitius pungitius (ninespine stickleback), 1302 nucleotides. RefSeq lists it as uncharacterized. NCBI's taxonomy places the organism in Eukaryota, Metazoa, Chordata, Actinopteri, Perciformes, Gasterosteidae. The record is from RefSeq and is a predicted model, not a curated record. The transcript has 3 exons.
CUCUCCUUGCUGAGGUUAUGGACUUUGUACACUUAAGAGCAGGUAUGUCAAACUCGUUUCAGUUUAAGGCCAGAAACUGCUCCGUGGCCGCGCAUACAGCUGACAGAAGAAGGUAAGGCUGAUGCAGGACAGCUGGCUCACGGCGCAGCCGUUUGGCAGCGUGUCGCGGGUUUGACAUAUCUAACCUAGACAAAUAACACGGACAGUUCAAUAUAUUUACAUCUGGAUUUAAAUACACGUAUUCUGCAACAUACGGGUGGAGAUGCAAACACGUUUGGUGAUGUAAAUAGAUGUUACGGGGAAAUUUUAAGUUAAAGAACUUCAUCACCCAGAAUUCCCUAUUCUUGGUUGACGGACAUGCGCAGACUACGUGCGCACAGCCGCGCACGUAGUCUGCGCAUGUUCCGGUUUUGUGUUGAACAGGCAAAGUAUCACCGCUCCGUAUUUUAAACUGCUAACUACACACCUAUACUUCAGGAACUAUUACUACUAUGUGGAUGUAAGCAAAGUGUUCUCAUUCCCUCUUGGAUGUGUGCAGCCAGUGAGGUACGUUUUGUUUAAGGGCUUGUUAUAUCUGCUCGACGGCACGGACAGCUAACUGGGAUAGCGAGUGGAGCUAGCGGCUGCCGGAUGGAGCAGCCAGUCAGCCAGCUUGCUAACUACACACCGGUGCUUACGUCCACAUGUACUCAACGAAGUGGAAACGCCUUUGACGAUGCCACGUGCAAAGUCAUGCCACCAUCAAUGGGAAUGGCACAUUGGACACGUGGCUUUCAACUCCAGCGAGGUGGCGGCACGGAUCUCUGCAUGUCUGACUGACAUCUCCCAGUGGAUGUCCGCCCAUCACCUGAAGAUCAACCCCGACAAGACUGAACUACUUCUCUUCCCUGGAAAAAACUCGCCCACUCAGGACCUGACUGUUAACUUUGGCGAACACCGUUAACAUCAGGAGAAUACGACCCCUUCUCACUCAGAAGGCGGCGCAGGUACAGAUUCAGGCUCUUGUCAUCUCUCGCCUCGACUACUGUAACUCUCUGCUGGCGGGUCUCCCUGCUACCGCCAUACGACCACUGCAGCUCAUCCAGAAUGCAGCAGCUCGACUGGUCUUCAACCUUCUGAAAUACUCCCACACCACACCGCUUCUCCGUUCUCUUCAUUGGUUACUAGUGGCUCCCCGCAUCCAGUUCAAAGCAUUGGUACUGACGUACCACGCUGUGAAUGGAUCGGGACCAGUCUACAUCCGGGACAUGGUUAAACCCUACAUCCCAACCCACACACUCCGAUCUGCAUCUGCCACGCUGC